UUCUGGUUGAUCCUGCCAGAGGCGACCGCUAUUGGAGUUCGAUUAAGCCAUGCGAGUAGAAAGAAAUUAGAUUCUUUGCAUACUGCUCAGUAACACGUGGAUAACCUGCCCUACACUGGGGGAUAAUCUCGGGAAACUGAGGAUAAUACCCCAUAGACCACUACGCCUGGAACGGUGAGUGGUUGAAAGCUCAGGCGGUGUAGGAUGGGUCUGCGGCGUAUCAGGUCGUAGGGGGUGUAAUGGACCUCCUAGCCAUCGACGCGUACGGGUUGUGGGAGCAAUAGCCCGGAGACGGAUUCUGAGACACGAAUCCGGACCCUACGGGGUGCAGCAGGCGCGAAAACUUCACACUGCAGGAAACUGUGAUGAGGGAACUCCAAGUGACUGCACAUUGUGUAGCCUUUUCUUGAAUCUUAAUAGUUCUUGGAAUAAGGGCUGGGAAAGACCGGUGCCAGCCGCCGCGGUAAUACCGGCAGCUCGAGUGGUCGUCGCUUUUAUUGGGCCUAAAACGUCCGUAGCCUGUUUGGUAAAUCUGUGGGUAAAUCAACGAGCUCAACUCGUUGAAUUCUGCAGAGACUGCCAGACUAGGGACCGGGAGAGGUAUGAGGUACUCUGGGGGUAGGGGUAAAAUCCUGUCAUCCUCAGAGGACCACCUGUUGCGAAGGCGUCAUACUGGAACGGAUCCGACGGUCAGGGACGAAGCCUAGGGGCACGAACCGGAUUAGAUACCCGGGUAGUCCUAGGUGUA
Molecule: ribosomal RNA, 748 nt
Filed under: uncultured Candidatus Poseidoniales archaeon
Lineage: Archaea; Methanobacteriati; Thermoplasmatota; Candidatus Poseidoniia; Candidatus Poseidoniales
Description: bacterial SSU rRNA
Rfam family: Archaeal small subunit ribosomal RNA
Source: RNAcentral